GGAUUCCGCGCCGACAAUGUAACGGGGCUCAAGCACGCCACCGAAGUUGUGGCAUUGACAUUAUUGGUAGGCCUUCGUGGUCCAGCCGUGUCGAUGGGUAGGAGAGCGUUGUGUGGCCAGCGAAGCGGCGGUGUGAACCAGCCGUGGAGGCCACACGAGUGAGAAUGCAGGCAUGAGUAGCGAAAGACGUGUGAGAAACACGUCCUCCGAAAGACCAAGGGUUCCAGGGUCAAGCUAAUCUUCCCUGGGUAAGUCGGGACCUAAGGCGAGGCCGACAGGCGUAGUCGAUGGACAACGGGUUGAUAUUCCCGUACCGGCGAAGAACCGCCCCAAUCAAUCCAGUGGUGCUAAGUGCCCGAAUUCCUCUGUAUCGAUCCCUUCGGGGUGAGAACGUUGGAGCUAGCGCACGACCCCAUGCUGGUGCGGUUAGCGCAUUAACAGGUGUGACGCAGGAAGGUAGCCCAACCCGGGCGAUGGUUGUCCCGGGGCAAGUGCGUAGGCCGAGAGAUAGGCAAAUCCGUCUCUCAUACGGCUGAGACACGAUGCGGAUGAAAAGUGGGUGAUCCUAUGCUGCCGAGAAAAGCAUCGACGCGAGGUUCUAGCCGCCCGUACCCCAAACCGACUCAGGUGGUCAGGUAGAGAAUACCAAGGAGAUCGAGAGAAUCGUGGUUAAGGAACUCGGCAAAAUGCCCCCGUAACUUCGGGAGAAGGGGGGCCUUCGACGUAUUAGGACUUGCUCCGAAAGCGUUUGGAGGCCGCAGAGACUAGUGGGUAGCGACUGUUUAUUAAAAACACAGGUCCGUGCCAAGUCGCAAGACGAUGUAUACGGACUGACGCCUGCCCGGUGCUGGAAGGUUAAGAGGACGGGUUAGCGCAAGCGAAGCUCAGAAUUUAAGCCCCAGUAAACGGCGGUGGUAACUAUAACCAUCCUAAGGUAGCGAAAUUCCUUGUCGGGUAAGUUCCGACCUGCACGAAUGGCGUAACGACUUCCCAACUGUCUCAACCGCGAACUCGGCGAAAUUGCACUACGAGUAAAGAUGCUCGUUACGCGCAGCAGGACGGAAAGACCCCGUGACCUUUACUACAGCUUGGUAUUGGUGUUCGGUGUGGCUUGUGUAGGAUAGGUGGGAGACUUUGGAGCAUGGACGCCAGUUCAUGUGGAGUCAUUGUUGAAAUACCACUCUGGUCACUCUGGAUAUCUAACUUCGAACCGUGAUCCGGUUCAGGGACAGUGCCUGGUGGGUAGUUUAACUGGGGCGGUUGCCUCCCAAAAUGUAACGGAGGCGCCCAAAGGUUCCCUCAAUCUGGUUGGCAAUCAGAUGUCGAGUGUAAGUGCACAAGGGAGCUUGACUGCG
This 1355-nucleotide ribosomal RNA is filed under the name metagenome. RNAcentral describes it as "bacterial LSU rRNA". It matches the Rfam family "Bacterial large subunit ribosomal RNA", at positions 1154 to 2377 of the family's 2925-position model. The record is from RNAcentral.